This 578-nucleotide ribosomal RNA is filed under the name Escherichia coli. RNAcentral describes it as "partial 23S ribosomal RNA". It matches the Rfam family "Bacterial large subunit ribosomal RNA", at positions 2364 to 2925 of the family's 2925-position model. Lineage: Bacteria; Pseudomonadati; Pseudomonadota; Gammaproteobacteria; Enterobacterales; Enterobacteriaceae. The record is from RNAcentral.
CCAGCUUGACUGCGAGCGUGACGGCGCGAGCAGGUGCGAAAGCAGGUCAUAGUGAUCCGGUGGUUCUGAAUGGAAGGGCCAUCGCUCAACGGAUAAAAGGUACUCCGGGGAUAACAGGCUGAUACCGCCCAAGAGUUCAUAUCGACGGCGGUGUUUGGCACCUCGAUGUCGGCUCAUCACAUCCUGGAGCUGAAGUAGGUCCCAAGGGUAUGGCUGUUCGCCAUUUAAAGUGGUACGCGAGCUGGGUUUAGAACGUCGUGAGACAGUUCGGUCCCUAUCUGCCGUGGGCCUGGAGAACUGAGGGGGGCUGCUCCUAGUACGAGAGGACCGGAGUGGACGCAUCACUGGUGUUCGGGUUGUCAUGCCAAUGGCACUGCCCGGUAGCUAAAUGCGGAAGAGAUAAGUGCUGAAAGCAUCUAAGCACGAAACUUGCCCCGAGAUGAGUUCUCCCUGACUCCUUGAGAGUCCUGAAGGAACGUUGAAGACGACGACGUUGAUAGGCCGGGUGUGUAAGCGCAGCGAUGCGUUGAGCUAACCGGUACUAAUGAACCGUGAGGCUUAACCUUACAACGCCGAAG